Molecule: non-coding RNA, 62 nt
Organism: Flavobacteria bacterium MS024-2A
Lineage: Bacteria; Pseudomonadati; Bacteroidota; Flavobacteriia
Source: Rfam
UAUAUUUGCCGUUCGUUAAAAAAACGAAUUACAUAAUAAUCAUUAAAAUUAAUAUUGGCAUG